Heterocephalus glaber (naked mole-rat) is the source of this 755-nucleotide long non-coding RNA. RefSeq lists it as uncharacterized. The record is from RefSeq and is a predicted model, not a curated record. Lineage: Eukaryota; Metazoa; Chordata; Mammalia; Rodentia; Bathyergidae.
GGAGUCCUCACAGGGUCUGCCUUGUGCUGGAUAAAGAGGGCGUCCGGCUUUGGGGGCAGAGGCGGAGCGGGGUCUCAGGGCAGACCAGAGGGGGCCAGCUCGGCUUUCCGGCUGUCAGAAGACCUCGCCCCGCCCCACCUCGCCUCCCUUUGCCCCAAGCGCCCCCCCCCCAGGUCGCCCCGAGGAACUGGCGCAGGAUGUGAGGGCAGAAUGUGGAGGCCAGGCUGCCUGUGUGCUGAGGAACUGUAAGGUUCUGUCCGAGGGCCUAAGGGAAGAGUGCCUGUGGGGGCUGCUCCACUUCAGCAGUCUCUUGGCACAGAAACUUCUCAAUGGCACACCUGUUAAAAUUGUCACUGCUGAAACGUUAAGUGAUGAAAGUUACUUCAAGGACAAAUGGCCUGCUGACUAGUGCAACAAGCUACAGGAAGAGAUUUCCAAAAUGAGGAGCUCCUGGCUGGAAGCCACAGUGGGACAGGAGACGUUGAGGCAGGCGGCAUCCUUGGUCCAGCAGGUAGCCUCCAUGCUCUAAGAAAGCACACAGAGCCGGCCUCUGACCUGGAAGGCUCUGGAAGCUCUGGCACCAGGGAACAAAAGGAAGAUCAACAGGAGGAGAAAUUAAUUGUAGCAGUACAUUUUGGAGUCAAAAGGACAACGUCCUAGGGAGCUUGGGAGUAGAGGGACUUCCUGAGCAGAAAUGGGCAGGCUUUUCACCGUGGUUUUGCAGUAUUCUAUAUAAAAUUUACUUCAUAUGUAAA